Molecule: long non-coding RNA, 2597 nt
Organism: Sycon ciliatum
Lineage: Eukaryota; Metazoa; Porifera; Calcarea; Leucosolenida; Sycettidae
Exons: 5
Source: RefSeq, a predicted model, not a curated record
CUGAGAUCUAGCCCCGUAGCCAGUUAUUGCAUACAUGCAGCGUGCAUUUCCGUCUACGCCUAGCGCCUUUACACGUAGAUUUACACGUACAGCCUCUGGAGUAUUGUCACGUCUCUUACUCUAGGUCAUACUUCUUGCAGACUUGAUCCCAGCAGAUAGUUUUGCACUGGAUGACUGUGUUUCUGGCGCUGGGUUGCAGAGUGCUAGCUUGGCAGUACACAGCUACAGGCGACGUGUGCGAGUCACUGCGAGGGAAAGAGCCCAGCCCGCGCGUCUGUCGAGCAAGUCUGCGGCCCAGUGCGGGGCGAAGUGGGAGGACGAGUGAAAGGAUUUGUCACUUCCAGUCUCACUCCAGUGACAGUGCGCUGUGCUCAUCUUGACUUGAGGCAAAGCAGACACCAGCAAGAAGAGAAAGAGAAGAGAGGAGAGCGUUCUCCAUCCUGCAUCACCUCGCAUUAUUGGUCACACUGGGCAGGCCGAAUCAUCACAGUGGCAUAUGCUGACACGGAUUCGCUAUUAGAUUUCUGCUUGUAGCAAUUAUAGAAAGCCGCGGAGUCUGAGCAUAACGAAUACUGAUUGGAAUUUGUUCGCAAUCGGCACUAUCAAGAAGCCCAGUUGACUGGUUGGUGUGGAUCGACAUUGGAAUAGAGCAUUGGAGCUCCGGUGCUGAAAAACACUAGCUAAUCCAGCUUGCGACAUCAGUCUUGGCACGGACCGUCCUAUCUUAAACAGUACCGGGCAGUUGCGGCGAGAAUGUCGGCAGCGGUGUUUUCAGCAGUCCUGCUUGCACUGCUCCUGGUGUGUGCUGAUGCACAACCCUUUGGGGGGACCUGGAGUGCUACGGAUUAUGGGCCUUGCAAUGCAUGUGGUGCCGAGACUCAGAUUCGUAUCGUUCUUUGCAGCAUGACAGGGUCAGUGGUUCCGAACAGCAACUGUGACCCUGCCACCAAACCCAGCCACCAACGACUAUGCCCACCUGUGGACUGCAGCCCGGUUGUGGACCAGGACCUAUUCGGCUUCUGCAGGCAGUGCCAGCAGACGAGCACGCAGCAGUGCAUUCAACGCCUAGGCAAUAACUCCCUCGUGACCGUACCGUUGUCCCUCUGCAACCUGACGUCCGCGACUAUCACUCGCAUAUGCCCCUCGCAAUGCCAGCCCCAGUGGGUAGCAUACGCGUACAACUGUUGUGAUGCAAAUGCCGCGCUCGGCAUGCGUUGCCACGACAACUUCUCCGAUAGCUAUGUGACGACGGAAGCGUGUCGCUUCUAUCAAGUGUCAUUGAACCUUGUGGUACCAAAGCCAGCCGCAUGUAUACCAUGUGUCCUUGCAGAUGGCGCCACGAGACACAUAGGGUCUGCAAGUCCAACUCCUGUUCCAAUCAGCAGCAAAGAGGAUAAUGAGGUUGGCACACGCCAUGCGACGGAUAGCAACACUGGCACGUUAAGCUCACACCCGGGGAUGAGCACGCGCCUACCCGCCUCGCGGCCUGAUACGAACAUGACGGAAGGCCCCGAACCCGACCCUGGGAGCGGCGUUGAGGCGGAACUGGGGAAGCAGUCUGCUGCGUCGACAUCACGACAGUCUUUCUGGUUACUCUGCCUUGCGUUGUGUUUCCUGUUAUGGACCGCCGGCUUAUAGCCAAGAGGACAUGCACACUGGUUCUAGUGCAGUGAUCUACACUUGGCUUGUCCCACUUGCAGCCUAUUUGAGCAUCACUAAGUACAUCCCUUGUACAUGUACUUUGUGAUGUGAUCUCAUGUGCCUUGAGUCACCUAUUUUCUUUGUUGUCGCGUGCUUGUACUGCGCAACCAGGAGAGCUUUUGAUGUCCACGCCGGCAUACUUGUAUGAGUUGAUUUGAUGCCACUAGUGGCGUCUACUGCCUGCAGCAUUUCUACGACCUUUGCUUGAGCCGUUUCAAAGCAGGUCAUGCACACAUGCCACAGUAUCAGGUUUUGCCAAAGUAUGGUCCAUUAUGAUAAUUUAAGAAACACCUCUCGUCCUGUCUUUAUUUUCGGUGAAUCCCCUCCCCCCCCCCCCCCCCCCCCCCCCAGCUCUCUCUAUAUAGCCUAGUGCCGCUGUAUUCCACUUGGAGCAGUAGGUCGUUCAUCAUCGAGUAUUUUCAGAGUAUGCAACAAUGUGUUGCAGAUACUGGCUGCGGAGCGCUUGUUGCACUCAGUAGGAGCUCAUGGGUUUUGUUCUCCAUCGUGGAUUGCUACCAAUACCAGCGUACAAUUCAUGAAGUAUGGCCUUUAUUUGAGGAGCAUUUGGUCUGAUUGCUGAUGCACUCAGCAGCAGCUUGUAUUGACUUAUCUGCUCGCGCAGCGUAUCCUUGCAAAAAUAAGCUAGUUGUGGUGUUAUAAUUGUUGAGUUGAAAACAAAUUAACUUGUCACAUGCCAAGCUCGCCGUUGUCCGCAGUUUAUUGAUUUUCUUGCCUAUCUUACCGAUCUGAUCACUAUCGCCCAUGACCGUGUUACGGCUGCAUUGGCUUCUUGAUUAUUGUAUCACGUUGAGCUAGUUUCUAUAUUGCGUUUUAGUUAUUAUCAGAACUUGUGGGUCCCCAGCAUUUGAAACAUUGUCCAGAACUAUUUAAAAAUC